AAAAAAUCAAAUUAUUUACCUUCAGCUCUCUAUCUUCUUCACUACUUCAUUCAAUUUCUUCAAUUAUUUUGAGUUUCUAAGGAUAAUAAACACACUUUCACUACUGUGGAGCUUAGGAUUGGUGAAGAACAAGAACAAACAGUUGUGGCAAUAGAGCAAAGUAAAGAACAGCAUGCUGUGGUGUAGUUUAUCUGUUGACGUAUAUCGGAAAGUUAUCUCCUUGAACUUGUAUUGCCGUGUGAUUCUGUAAAAUACCCAAAUAAGUUCUUUGUAGCCUCUGGAUAGAUUACUGGUUCUUUUUUGUUUCUCGCCUUAGAAGUCAAGUAUUCAUUUUAAUCUCUUUCCAUGGGAUCUACACGUUUCGUCGUCAUACCUUGUUACGUUCGUAUGAUUAGCUGAGUAUUUAAUCACUUUCAUCUUAGUCUGGGUGAGAAUUGUCUUUGUUAGUUAGGUUUCAGCCUUACUGUUUCUUUCAUCCUGAGUCUUUGUGAGAAUCAUCUUUGUUAAUUAGCAUUCAGCCUUACAGUUUCUUUCAUAUUGAGUCUUUGUGAGAAUAUUUCCUUAGUAUUCAAUCUUUCUGUUUUGUUGUGAGUGAUUUUCCUCUGUCAUUUCUAUUGGAACAAUUUCUUUGUGGUGAUUGUUCAAUCAUUUUCUUGAGGGGAUUGUUUGGAAUUCUUUUGUUAGUUGAUUGCUUUGCUGGAAGAUUGAGGUGUUUUAUU
RNAcentral lists this unclassified non-coding RNA (719 nucleotides) under Hevea brasiliensis (rubber tree). Lineage: Eukaryota; Viridiplantae; Streptophyta; Magnoliopsida; Malpighiales; Euphorbiaceae. The record is from RNAcentral.